Triticum aestivum (bread wheat) is the source of this 115-nucleotide non-coding RNA. The record is from Rfam. NCBI's taxonomy places the organism in Eukaryota, Viridiplantae, Streptophyta, Magnoliopsida, Poales, Poaceae.
UAUCUACUCCCUCCGUUCGGAAUUACUUGUCGUAGCAAUGGAUGUAUCUAGACAUUUUUUAGUUCUAGAUACAUCCAUUUCUACGACAAGUAAUUCGGAACGGAGGGAGUAAAAC